UGGCCUUGACACGCAAGUGGUAGAACCAUGAAAGUGGGACGACCCCGCAAGGGGAGCUUGCACAGGUGCUGCAUGGCUGUCGUCAGCUCGUGUCGUGAGAUGUUGGGUUAAGUCCCGCAACGAGCGCAACCCUCGCCUUUAGUUGCCAUCAUUCAGUUGGGCACUCUAGAGGGACUGCCGGUGAUAAGCCGGAGGAAGGUGGGGAUGACGUAGACCUUGGACC
This 223-nucleotide unclassified non-coding RNA is filed under the name uncultured Alphaproteobacteria bacterium. RNAcentral's name for it is "contains 16S-23S intergenic spacer region". It matches the Rfam family "Bacterial small subunit ribosomal RNA", at positions 976 to 1201 of the family's 1533-position model. The record is from RNAcentral. Lineage: Bacteria; Pseudomonadati; Pseudomonadota; Alphaproteobacteria.